GCGAAAACUUUACAAUGCUGGCAACAGCGAUAAGGGAACCUCGAGUGCCAGGUUACAAAUCUGGCUGUCGAGAUGCCUAAAAAGCAUUUCAUAGCAAGGGCCGGGCAAGACCGGUGCCAGCCGCCGCGGUAACACCGGCGGCUCGAGUGGUAACCGUUAUUAUUGGGUCUAAAGGGUCUGUAGCCGGCCGGAUAAGUCUCUUGGGAAAUCUGGCAGCUUAACUGUCAGGCUUUCAGGAGAUACUGUCUGGCUCGAGGCCGGGAGAGGUGAGAGGUACUUCAGGGGUAGGGGUGAAAUCUUGUAAUCCUUGAAGGACCACCAGUGGCGAAGGCGUCUCACCAGAAUGGACCUGACGGCAAGGGACGAAAGCUAGGGGCACGAACC
This 384-nucleotide ribosomal RNA is filed under the name uncultured prokaryote. Its description in RNAcentral is "bacterial SSU rRNA". It matches the Rfam family "Archaeal small subunit ribosomal RNA", at positions 341 to 725 of the family's 1478-position model. The record is from RNAcentral.